This 254-nucleotide ribosomal RNA is filed under the name uncultured bacterium. Its description in RNAcentral is "partial 16S ribosomal RNA". It matches the Rfam family "Bacterial small subunit ribosomal RNA", at positions 524 to 776 of the family's 1533-position model. The record is from RNAcentral.
UACAGAGGGUGCAAGCGUUGUUCGGAAUUAUUGGGCGUAAAGCGCGUGUAGGCGGCUUUGCAAGUCGGGUGUGAAAGCCCUCAGCUCAACUGAGGAAGUGCGCCCGAAACUGCAUGGCUUGAGUACCGGAGAGGAUGGUGGAAUUCCCCAAGUAGAGGUGAAAUUCGUAGAUAUGGGGAGGAACACCGGUGGCGAAGGCGACCAUCUGGACGGAUACUGACGCUGAGACGCGAAAGCGUGGGUGAGCAAACAGG